Molecule: long non-coding RNA, 329 nt
Filed under: Bos taurus (domestic cattle)
Lineage: Eukaryota; Metazoa; Chordata; Mammalia; Artiodactyla; Bovidae
Description: long non-coding RNA NONBTAT020260
Source: RNAcentral
CCAUAUUCUAUAGCAUCUGGCAAAGUAACUAGUUUAGAAACCUAACAACCACCUUUCUGGGAGGGAAAAUAAAGUGCAACAUAUACAGGGGAAAACUUGGUAAAAGAGCUGAGGGAUGAUGGUGAUGCCAGUUCUCAGCAAAAUGGCCAGCUCCCCACCCAAGUGUCAGCUUCAUAUCUUUCUCUCUAAAGCCUCUAAACCACCAGCCUCCAUGUCUCUGCACGCUGGGGUUUCACCCUGGCUUCUUGUCUCUGAAAUGACAUAGCUCUAAAUAUCCCAUUUCCCUAGCUUUAAAAGUCAGCAUGUGAAAGACGAAAAUCCAAAAUAAC